GGGACAGGGUGGAGGGGACACACAGGACUACCCUUACAGCCUCUGUAUGUAAGAAGGGUAUCACGUUAUGUAUGUCGGCUGAAUGCUGCAUAAUUGACAUUUGACUGCAUGGAAUAGAGUUCUGGGCUGCCAGUGUUACGUGUGUUGGGUGUGCAACUAGCCCCCAGCAGAAAAGUGCUAAUUACUGGUUCUGCAGUGUUUCAAAUUAAC
Non-coding RNA from Pelobates cultripes (western spadefoot toad), 210 nucleotides. The record is from the annotation of a GenBank genome assembly. NCBI's taxonomy places the organism in Eukaryota, Metazoa, Chordata, Amphibia, Anura, Pelobatidae.